UAAUCAAUUGAUUAAUAAUAAAAGUCAAGAUGUGGGAUGUGAAAUAAAUAAUUACUUCUAAGUCUUCAUGUGCGACUUGUAUGAAUUUAAGAAAAAAUAGCCAAUGUAAAGGAACAGCAGAAAUUAUAAACAAACAAUUUCUACAAGUUAUAAAUAUGAGAAGGAAAAUAAAAACUCAGAGAAAAACGAUAGAAAUAUUAGAAACAAAAAUUAAAAACGGUAAGUACAAAAGAGCUUUGACAUCAAUUUUUAACGAAGAUCAAAUCCAGACUUUAAUGAUGAAAAAACGAAGUUGAAAUUGGUCUCAUAAAACUAUUCAACGUGCUCUACAAUUUAAAUUUGUUUGUGGACGUAGCGGCUAUGAUCAUUUUUAAAAAUAAUUAAAAGGUUUGCAGUAUUUAGACUAAGAAUAAUGCGUAAAAACGAUAUUAAUAAUAAUGGUAGUAAUAAGCGUUACGAUAGUAAGUCUAUGGCUGUACAUGCUUUUUUUAAAUAAAUUUUGUAAAUUUAAAAGU
Molecule: long non-coding RNA, 515 nt
Organism: Formica exsecta
Lineage: Eukaryota; Metazoa; Arthropoda; Insecta; Hymenoptera; Formicidae
Exons: 2
Source: RefSeq, a predicted model, not a curated record